Molecule: ribosomal RNA, 460 nt
Filed under: uncultured bacterium
Lineage: Bacteria
Description: partial 16S ribosomal RNA
Rfam family: Bacterial small subunit ribosomal RNA
Source: RNAcentral
CCUACGGGCGGCAGCAGUGAGGAAUAUUGGUCAAUGGUCGGGAGACUGAACCAGCCAAGCCGCGUGAGGGAUGAAGGUACAGAGUAUCGUAAACCUCUUUUGUCAGGGAACAAAGGCGGGGACGUGUCCCCGGAUGAGUGUACCUGAAGAAAAAGCAUCGGCUAACUCCGUGCCAGCAGCCGCGGUAAUACGGAAGGUCCGGGCGUUAUCCGGAUUUAUUGGGUUUAAAGGGAGCGUAGGCCGCAUGUCAAGCGUGCUGUGAAAUGUCCGGGCUCAACCCGGGCCUUGCAGCGCGAACUGGCGUGCUUGAGUCCGCGGAAAGCAGGCGGAAUUCGUCGUGUAGCGGUGAAAUGCUUAGAUAUGACGAAGAACCCCGAUUGCGAAGGCAGCUUGCUGCAGCGGAACUGACGCUGAUGCUCGAAAGCGCGGGUAUCGAACAGGAUUAGAUACCCUUGUAGUC